CAUUUGACAUGGGAGGCUGGACUUG
RNAcentral lists this non-coding RNA (25 nucleotides) under Cricetulus griseus (Chinese hamster). Lineage: Eukaryota; Metazoa; Chordata; Mammalia; Rodentia; Cricetidae. The record is from RNAcentral.